UACUUUCAGUUGUGAGGAAGGGUGUGUAGUUAAUAGCUGCGCAUCUUGACGUUAGCAACAGAAGAAGCACCGGCUAACUCCGUGCCAGCAGCCGCGGUAAUACGGAGGGUGCGAGCGUUAAUCGGAAUUACUGGGCGUAAAGCGCAUGCAGGUGGUUCAUUAAGUCAGAUGUGAAAGCCCGGGGCUCAACCUCGGAACUGCAUUUGAAACUGGUGAACUAGAGUGCUGUAAGGGGGGUAGAAUUUCAGGUGUAGCGGUGAAAUGCGUAAGAUCUGAAGGAAUACCAGUGGCGAAGGCGGCCCCCUGGACAGACACUGACACUCAGAUGCGAAAGCGUGGGGAGCAAACAGGAUUAGAUACCCUGGUAGUCCACGCCGUAAACGAUGUCUACUUGGAGGUUGUGGCCUUGAGCCGUGGCUUUCGGAGCUAACGCGUUAAGUAACCGCCUGGGGAGUACGGUCGCAAGAUUAAAACUCAAAUGAAUUGACGGGGGCCCGCACAAGCGGUGGAGC
This 512-nucleotide ribosomal RNA is filed under the name Vibrio sp. UST050418-408. Its description in RNAcentral is "bacterial SSU rRNA". It matches the Rfam family "Bacterial small subunit ribosomal RNA", at positions 431 to 938 of the family's 1533-position model. Lineage: Bacteria; Pseudomonadati; Pseudomonadota; Gammaproteobacteria; Vibrionales; Vibrionaceae. The record is from RNAcentral.